RNAcentral lists this ribosomal RNA (405 nucleotides) under uncultured bacterium. Its description in RNAcentral is "bacterial SSU rRNA". It matches the Rfam family "Bacterial small subunit ribosomal RNA", at positions 354 to 776 of the family's 1533-position model. The record is from RNAcentral.
GUGGGGAAUAUUGCACAAUGGGCGGAAGCCUGAUGCAGCAACGCCGCGUGCGGGAUGGAGGCCUUCGGGUUGUAAACCGCUUUCACUGCCGACGAAUGUGACGGUAGGCGGAGAAGAAGCACCGGCUAACUACGUGCCAGCAGCCGCGGUGAUACGUAGGGUGCGAGCGUUGUCCGGAUUUAUUGGGCGUAAAGAGCUCGUAGGUGGUUUGUUGCGUCGGAAGUGAAAACCUGCCGCUUAACGGUGGGCUUGCUUUCGAUACGGGCAGACUUGAGGGAGGUAGGGGAGAACGGAAUUCCUGGUGGAGCGGUGGAAUGCGCAGAUAUCAGGAGGAACACCGGUGGCGAAGGCGGUUCUCUGGACCUUUCCUGACGCUGAGGAGCGAAAGCGUGGGGAGCAAACAGG